Molecule: non-coding RNA, 922 nt
Organism: Pogona vitticeps (central bearded dragon)
Lineage: Eukaryota; Metazoa; Chordata; Lepidosauria; Squamata; Agamidae
Source: RefSeq, a predicted model, not a curated record
AAACAUGGCAAAAUACUCCAGAAGCAGAAGGAAAGAGAAGUGGGGAGAAGGGAGAGAUUCUGCAGUAACAUCAUGUGGUGGAAAUAUUCCAGUUCCAGAGAAAAGAUGAGGCUUUAGAAGUGGGCAUCAUGUCUCUGUUUUGGUGAGAUUUGGAUGCUUUCCUGGCUGGAGAAAGAAGACUAGACUACAUUUCAUGCUGAAAAGGAAAAUAAACUCUGUCCAAGUUAUGGCAACGACCCAAGUCAGCUGUGAAACACAGCAUUUUGCAGGAUGAAGCAUUUGAGUCAACAGCCGAAGCCCACAACCUGUGUUUGCCUUCGUCAUCCAGUUGCUAAAAUUUGAACCCACCUGCCCACUCCUUCAAAGCCCCAAAAUGAGGCAAAGCAGAACUUGGAAAUUACAAGUGAUUGGUUACUUUGGGGAUAAGAAGUACAGUAAUGUAGUUACAAAAUUCUUUUUCAAGUGUAAUGACUUGCACUUAACUUAGGUGAGGGCAUUUAAGUCAUUUUAGAUGCAUUUUGAUGUAACAUUUUCAGUGUUUGUGCCAUUUUCUUAUCAAUCCCAAAGGCAGUGGAAGUAUUAUCUAGUUGUAUCUUUUAUAUUUUUAUAAAUAUCUCCAAGGUAAAAUUUCAGAACUUGGCCACUAAAGGGAAUGAGAAAGCACUCCUUUGUGAUGUUAUGGCCUGUUGGGGAGGAUUAUGGAACCUGUUCAUAUAUUCCUAUUAAUAACACAUGGUGCAAUGAAUUUAUUGUGGACACCAAGCAAUGAUGACAGCAACCAAGCUGCCAUGAAGUAAUAAACAUAUGUGGGCACGCCAGUGAGAUAAAACAAUAACUGGAUUUAUUUCUUGUGUUCUCUGUGCACGAUAUCCUUUACUAUGAAACCUUUACUUCUUGACCACUAGUUGGUACAAUUUAAAAC